CCUACGGGGGGCAGCAGUGGGGAAUCUUGGACAAUGGGCGAAAGCCUGAUCCAGCAAUGCCGCGUGCGUGAAGAAGGCCUUCGGGUUGUAAAGCGCUUUUGUCGGGGAGGAAAUCCUAACGGUUAAUACCUGUUGGGGAUGACAGUACCCGAAGAAUAAGCACCGGCUAACUACGUGCCAGCAGCCGCGGUAAUACGUAGGGUGCAAGCGUUAAUCGGAAUUACUGGGCGUAAAGCGUCCGCAGGUGGCUUGAUAAGAUAGACGUGAAAUCCCUGGGCUCAACCUAGGAAUUGCGUAUAUGACUGUCUCGCUAGAGUAUGGGAGAGGGGGGUGGAAUUCCGCGUGUAGCAGUGAAAUGCGUAGAGAUGCGGAGGAACACCGAUGGCGAAGGCAACCCCCUGGCCUAAUACUGACACUCAUGGACGAAAGCGUGGGGAGCAAACAGGAUUAGAUACCCCUGUAGUC
RNAcentral lists this ribosomal RNA (465 nucleotides) under uncultured bacterium. RNAcentral's name for it is "bacterial SSU rRNA". It matches the Rfam family "Bacterial small subunit ribosomal RNA", at positions 338 to 795 of the family's 1533-position model. The record is from RNAcentral.